This is a non-coding RNA of Gorilla gorilla gorilla (western lowland gorilla), 117 nucleotides long. It matches the Rfam family "Metazoan signal recognition particle RNA". From Rfam's summary of the family: The signal recognition particle (SRP) is a universally conserved ribonucleoprotein. It is involved in the co-translational targeting of proteins to membranes. The record is from Rfam. NCBI's taxonomy places the organism in Eukaryota, Metazoa, Chordata, Mammalia, Primates, Hominidae.
GCCGGGCGUGGUAGCUCACGCCUGUAAUCCAAGCACUUUGGGAGGCUGAGGUGGGUGGAUCACCUGAGGUCAGGAGUUUGAGACCAGCCUGACCAACAUGGUGAAACCCUGUCUCUA